AUUGAACGCUGGCGGCAUGCUUUACACAUGCCAGUCGAACGGUAACAGGCCUUCGGGUGCUGACGAGUGGCGAACGGGUGAGUAAUGCAUCGGAACGUACCCAGAAGUGGGGGAUAACGCAGCGAAAGCUGUGCUAAUACCGCAUGUGAUCUGAGGAUGAAAGCGGGGGACCGAGCAGCAAUGUUUGGCCUCGCGCCUUUGGAGCGGCCGAUGUCGGAUUAGCUAGUUGGUGGGGUAAAGGCCUACCAAGGCGACGAUCCGUAGCUGGUCUGAGAGGACGACCAGCCACACUGGGACUGAGACACGGCCCAGACUCCUACGGGAGGCAGCAGUGGGGAAUUUUGGACAAUGGGCGCAAGCCUGAUCCAGCAAUGCCGCGUGCGGGAAGAAGGCCUUCGGGUUGUAAACCGCUUUUGGCAGGAACGAAACGGUGUCCGCUAAUACCGGGCGCUAAUGACGGUACCUGCAGAAUAAGCACCGGCUAACUACGUG
Molecule: ribosomal RNA, 492 nt
Filed under: uncultured bacterium
Lineage: Bacteria
Description: partial 16S ribosomal RNA
Rfam family: Bacterial small subunit ribosomal RNA
Source: RNAcentral